UAUUCUAAAUAUUUUAGCGAUUGUGCAAUCAAGAAUAAUUUUAGAAUUUUAUGUUGAAAAGAAUUUGAAUUAGGAAAACUCGUUGAAUUCGGAAAAACAAUUCUAUUCGAUUUUUACUCAAACACUAAAGUCCAAAUCCUAAUCCUAGCCCACAUGGGAAAAGCCCAAAAUAAAAAUCCAUUCCUUCCCUUACUCUAAUUCACGUAAAACCCAAAGCAACCAAAACCCUCCCUUUCUAUUUCACGUGAAACACCAAGCCUCCUUCCCUCAGUUCUCUCUCACGGUGGUGCCUCUGCCUUGCUCUCCACGUCGCCGUCCCAGCCGCCACAGUCACCGGCGAUCCCUAACACCGAACUCCGCGAGUCUGUCCUCGCCGCCAGCCCUACCGCCGCCAGCGCAGCCGCCGGCCACCGCACGGUUCCCGCAGCCAACCACCACCACCUUGCUCCCACUGCGCGACGCCGCCACCUCCAGCCGUGCCUCACACCGCCGGCCAACUCCUCUCUCUUUCUCCUUUUGGUUAUUUCUU
Spinacia oleracea (spinach) is the source of this 529-nucleotide long non-coding RNA. RefSeq lists it as uncharacterized. The record is from RefSeq and is a predicted model, not a curated record. The transcript has 3 exons. NCBI's taxonomy places the organism in Eukaryota, Viridiplantae, Streptophyta, Magnoliopsida, Caryophyllales, Amaranthaceae.